UACAGAGGGUGCGAGCGUUGUCCGGAAUCACUGGGCGUAAAGGGCGCGUAGGCGGCCUGAUAAGUAGGGGGUGAAAUCCUGUGGCUUAACUGCAGGGCUGCCUCCUAGACUGUUAGGCUCGAGCACGGUAGAGGCAGAUGGAAUUCCCGGUGUAGCGGUGGAAUGCGUAGAGAUCGGGAGGAACAUCGGUGGCGAAGGCGGUCUGCUGGGCCAAGACUGACGCUGAGGCGCGACAGCGUGGGGAGCAAACAGG
This 253-nucleotide ribosomal RNA is filed under the name uncultured bacterium. RNAcentral describes it as "partial 16S ribosomal RNA". It matches the Rfam family "Bacterial small subunit ribosomal RNA", at positions 524 to 776 of the family's 1533-position model. The record is from RNAcentral.